This 501-nucleotide ribosomal RNA is filed under the name uncultured bacterium. RNAcentral describes it as "partial 16S ribosomal RNA". It matches the Rfam family "Bacterial small subunit ribosomal RNA", at positions 30 to 523 of the family's 1533-position model. The record is from RNAcentral.
AUUGAGCGCUGGCGGCAGGCUUAACACAUGCAAGUCGAGCGGGGGAAGGUAGCUUGCUACCGGACCUAGCGGCGGACGGGUGAGUAAUGCUUAGGAAUCUGCCUAUUAGUGGGGGACAACAUCUCGAAAGGGAUGCUAAUACCGCAUACGUCCUACGGGAGAAAGCAGGGGAUCUUCGGACCUUGCGCUAAUAGAUGAGCCUAAGUCGGAUUAGCUAGUUGGUGGGGUAAAGGCCUACCAAGGCGACGAUCUGUAGCGGGUCUGAGAGGCUGCUCCGCCACACUGGGACUGAGAUACGGCCAAGACUCCUACGGGAGGCAGGAGUGGGGAAUAUUGGACAAUGGGGGGAACCCUGAUCCAGCCAUGCCGCGUGUGUGAAGAAGGCCUUAUGGUUGUAAAGCACUUUAAGCGAGGAGGAGGCUACUUUAGUUAAUACCUAGAGAUAGUGGACGUUACUCGCAGAAUAAGCACCGGCUAACUCUGUGCCAGCCGCCGCAGUAA